GCUGGGCACGGUGGCGCGUGCCUGUAAUCCCAGCUACUCAGGAGGCUGAGGCAGGAGAAUUGCCUGAACCCAGGAGGUGGAGGGUGCGGUGAGCUGAGAUCGAGCCAUUGCACUCCAGCCUGGGUAACAAGAGCGAAACUCCGUCUCAU
Molecule: small RNA, 149 nt
Filed under: Callithrix jacchus (white-tufted-ear marmoset)
Lineage: Eukaryota; Metazoa; Chordata; Mammalia; Primates; Cebidae
Description: Metazoan signal recognition particle RNA (ENSCJAG00000082073.1)
Source: Rfam by way of RNAcentral